This 253-nucleotide ribosomal RNA is filed under the name uncultured bacterium. RNAcentral describes it as "partial 16S ribosomal RNA". It matches the Rfam family "Bacterial small subunit ribosomal RNA", at positions 524 to 776 of the family's 1533-position model. The record is from RNAcentral.
UACGAAGGGGGCUAGCGUUGCUCGGAAUUACUGGGCGUAAAGCGUGCGCAGGCGGUUUUGUAAGACAGGCGUGAAAUCCCCGGGCUCAACCUGGGAAUUGCGCUUGUGACUGCAAAGCUGGAGUGCGGCAGAGGGGGAUGGAAUUCCGCGUGUAGCAGUGAAAUGCGUAGAUAUGCGGAGGAACACCGAUGGCGAAGGCAAUCCCCUGGGCCUGCACUGACGCUCAUGCACGAAAGCGUGGGGAGCAAACAGG